CCACAGUCUAGCACGAUCCAUGCAGCACAUUUAUUGUCCCCACAGUCCAAGCAUGGCUGUGAUUGAGGGGCUUUUACUUCUACCGUAAGGUCCUGACACCACUCGAUCCAAUCGUCAGGAAGAUGAACACAGGCACAUCGCGCAUCGUUAGAGUAGGGCUUAAGGUGUUGCAAAUAGGGUCGCAAUAUCAGCGUCAGUUUGUUGUGCACCCUCUCUUUGUCCUCCGGUGACAAGGCCGCGACAGUCCUCAACAUCUGGUACAGCUCGAGUCCACUUCGCGGGGAUCCACAAGGGUCCUGUUGGAGAGGAAACACAAAGAUAUCCCCUCCCCCAGUAUAGUAGCCUGGCAGCUACUCCUGCUACAUAAAGGGAGUCAGUCACAAUAUUCAAAGGACCUUUUAAAUUCAUCAUUGACCAUACUACAGCUAAAAGUUCCAAUGUCUGUAGACUGUCCCUGGCAUCUGCAUCUAACAAAUGUUGUCACCACUGUCUUUGCUGUUUCCAUGUCACGGCUGCUCUCCUGGACUUUUUACCAGCGUCCGUAAAGGCCGUGAUAGCCCCCCUUAAUGGUGACAGACUCUGAAUGGGCUUUGUUAUCCAGUCCCAUUCUGUCAUCCACUGGAGGGGACUAGGAUGCAUUUUCCCAGUCUCCACGACAGCUCCAGCUCCUAAAAGGGCUUCCUGGAGCUCCCCAGAGUUCACCAAAUACCAGUCAAGCGUGUCCUUUUUAAUGGGCAAUCGUAUUGUUGAAGGCUCUGCUCCUGUAACUUGGAUUGCCCUAAAACGUCCUUUCUUUAUGAGGGAUGCAAUCAUUUCAAUUUUCAGUCUCACAGUUUUCUGUUGCUGUAGCGGUGGAGAGAGCCACUCCAAUACCCUGAGCUCCCCCGUUUUCUUUUCAAGCUGAGACAGGGCACCUGUUAAAACACAAACAAAUCCCACAUCCCUGCAGGACUGAAGAAUCUUCUCAAAAUCUUGGAGAUUAUCCCAAUGGCAUUCGGCUCACGUCAGCUGUUCCAGGAGCAGAUAUCAAAGUACUCAUAAAUUUCAAUGCACCAAAUCCUCAGGACAGGAAGAAGUUUACAGAUGAUUUGAGGGAAUCAAUUGCAGAAGUUCAAGAAAUGGAAAAGCACAGAAUAGAGUCCGAGCUGGAGAAGCAGAAGGGGGUGGUGCGUCCCAGCAUGUCGCAGUGCUCCAGCCUGAAGAAGGACUCCGGGAACGGGACCCUGCCCCGGGCGUGCCUGGACGACAGCUACGCCGGCGGCGAGGGGCUGAAGCGGAGCGCGCUCAGCUCCUCCCUGCGCGACGUGUCCGAAGCAGGUAA
This is an RNA transcript of Passer domesticus (house sparrow), 1321 nucleotides long. It is a transcript of the gene named IQ motif and SEC7 domain-containing protein 1-like, with no coding region annotated. The transcript is spliced from 3 exons. The record is from RefSeq and is a predicted model, not a curated record. Lineage: Eukaryota; Metazoa; Chordata; Aves; Passeriformes; Passeridae.